GAUGAAGAACGCAGCGAAAUGCGAUAAGUAAUGUGAAUUGCAGAAUUCAGUGAAUCAUCGAAUCUUUGAACGCACAUUGCGCCCCCCAGUAUUCUGGCGGGCAUGCCUGUUCGAGCGUCAUUUCAACCAUCAAGCCCUGCUUGUGUUGGGGUCCUGCGGCUGCCCGCAGGCCCUGAAAACCAGUGGCGGGCUCGCUAGUCACACCGAGCGCAGUAGCACAUCUCGCUCAGGGCGUGCGGCGGGCUCCAGCCGUUAAAGCACCCACCUUUCGCAAGGUUGACCUCGGAUCAGGUAGGAAUACCCGCUGAACUUAAGCAUCUCAAUAAGCGGAGGA
This 334-nucleotide unclassified non-coding RNA is filed under the name soil metagenome. RNAcentral describes it as "partial contains 5.8S ribosomal RNA, internal transcribed spacer 2, and large subunit ribosomal RNA". The stretch from base 1 to 120 matches the Rfam family "5.8S ribosomal RNA", at positions 35 to 154 of the family's 154-position model. The record is from RNAcentral.